This 307-nucleotide ribosomal RNA is filed under the name uncultured bacterium. RNAcentral describes it as "partial 16S ribosomal RNA". It matches the Rfam family "Bacterial small subunit ribosomal RNA", at positions 506 to 807 of the family's 1533-position model. The record is from RNAcentral.
AGACAGCAGUCGCCGCGGUAAUACGUAGGUGGCAAGCGUUGUCCGGAAUUAUUGGGCGUAAAGGGCUCGCAGGCGGUUUCUUAAGUCUGAUGUGAAAGCCCCCGGCUCAACCGGGGAGGGUCAUUGGAAACUGGGAAACUUGAGUGCAGAAGAGGAGAGUGGAAUUCCACGUGUAGCGGUGAAAUGCGUAGAGAUGUGGAGGAACACCAGUGGCGAAGGCGACUCUCUGGUCUGUAACUGACGCUGAGGAGCGAAAGCGUGGGGAGCGAACAGGAUUAGAUACCCCGGUAGUCCCUGUCUCUUAUAC